GACGAACGCUGGCGGCGUGCUUAACACAUGCCAGUCGAACGGAAAGGCCUGCUUUCCCUUGUGGAUUGCGGGUACACGAGUGGCGAACGGGUGAGUAACACGUGAGUGAUCUGCCCCCAACUUGGGUAUAAGCCUGGGAAACUGGGUCUAAUUCCCGAUAGGACUGCAGGGUGGUGCCUGUGGUGGAAAACGAUUUUCUAGUGGUUGGGGAUGAGCUCGCGGCCUAUCAGCUUGUUGGUGGGGUAAUGGCCUACCAAGGCGGCGACGGGUAGCCGGCCUGAGAGGGUGGACGGCCACAUUGGGACUGAGAUACGGCCCAGACUCCUACGGGAGGCAGCAGUGGGGAAUAUUGCACAAUGGGCGGAAGCCUGAUGCAGCGACGCCGCGUGGGGGAUGACGGCCUUCGGGUUGUAAACUCCUUUCGACCGCGAGGAAGCCACCUGGUUGGAAGGGUGGUGACGGUAGUGGUAGAAGAAGCACCGGCUAACUACGUG
This 494-nucleotide ribosomal RNA is filed under the name uncultured bacterium. Its description in RNAcentral is "partial 16S ribosomal RNA". It matches the Rfam family "Bacterial small subunit ribosomal RNA", at positions 28 to 507 of the family's 1533-position model. The record is from RNAcentral.